GACGAACCGUCCAAACGUUAUUCGGAAUCACUGGGCUUAAAGGGUGCGUAGGCGGUCCGGCAAGUUGGGUGUGAAAUCCCUCGGCUCAACCGAGGAAUUGCGUCCAAAACUGCCGGACUCGAGGGAGACAUAGGUGAGCGGAACCUAGGGUGGAGCGGUGAAAUGCGUUGAGAUCCUAGGGAACACCAGUAGCGAAAGCGGCUCACUGGGUCUCUUCUGACGCUGAUGCACGAAAGCUAGGGGAGCGAAGAGG
RNAcentral lists this ribosomal RNA (253 nucleotides) under uncultured bacterium. RNAcentral's name for it is "partial 16S ribosomal RNA". It matches the Rfam family "Bacterial small subunit ribosomal RNA", at positions 524 to 776 of the family's 1533-position model. The record is from RNAcentral.